GAUGAACGCUGGCGGCGUGCCUAAUACAUGCAAGUCGAGCGAACAGACGAGGAGCUUGCUCCUCUGACGUUAGCGGCGGACGGGUGAGUAACACGUGGAUAACCUACCUAUAAGACUGGGUUAACUUCGGGAAACCGGAGCUAAUACCGGAUAAUAUAUUGAACCGCAUGGUUCAAUAGUGAAAGACGGUUUUGCUGUCACUUAUAGAUGGAUGCGCGCCGCAUUAGCUAGUUGGUAAGGUAACGGCUUACCAAGGGAACGAUGCAUAGCCGGCCUGAGAGGGGGGGUGGACCACCACGUAGGGAGUGAGCGGCCGCACAGCCUCCGGGGGGAGGCAGUAGGGAGUGUUCCGGAACGGGGGACACAUGGAGGAAGCAACGCCGCGGCGUGGUGGAUGGCGGCCGUCGGGUAAAACACUGUUUUCGGGAGAGAAGAAGUCAGAAAUUUAUUGGGUGUGGUGACGGUACCCUUGUUAAGAAGCCCCGGCUAACUACGUG
This 497-nucleotide ribosomal RNA is filed under the name uncultured bacterium. RNAcentral describes it as "partial 16S ribosomal RNA". It matches the Rfam family "Bacterial small subunit ribosomal RNA", at positions 28 to 507 of the family's 1533-position model. The record is from RNAcentral.